Molecule: ribosomal RNA, 464 nt
Filed under: uncultured bacterium
Lineage: Bacteria
Description: SSU rRNA
Rfam family: Bacterial small subunit ribosomal RNA
Source: RNAcentral
AGGACUAACGCUGGCGGCGUGCCUAACACAUGCAAGUCGAACGAGGUAGCAAUACCUAGUGGCAGACGGGUGAGUAACACGUAGUCAACCUUCCCGAUAGUGGGGGAUAACUAGCCGAAAGGUUAGCUAAUACCGCAUACGAUCUUCGAGUGGCAUCAUUUGAAGAUGAAAGGAGCAAUCCGCUUUCGGACGGGACUGCGUCCCAUUAGCUAGAUGGUGGGGUAAUGGCCUACCAUGGCAACGAUGGGUAGCUGGUUUGAGAGAGCGACCAGCCACACUGGGACUGAGAAACGGCCCAGACUCCUACGGGAGGCAGCAGUGAGGAAUUUUCCGCAAUGGGCGAAAGCCUGACGGAGCGACGCCGCGUGUGGGAAGAAGGCCUUCGGGUCGUAAACCACUGUCGAAGGGGAAAUACUGAUGGUACCCUUGGAGGAAGCCCCGGCUAACUACGCGCUAGCAGCCGC